UAGGCAAAAUUUGGUGCAAAAAUGAGCAAAAUUUUCAUUUUUUUGUUGAAUUUUCUGAUUUUUUUAUUAUUUUUCACUAUUUUUUUUAUUUCAAGCAUUAUUUGAGUGAAAAGAAACUCAUUGCAACCCAUUGGCAUUAAAAUAAAACAAUUUAAUUUUUUUUGCAAAAUUUCUCAAAAAAAUGGCAAGGGGUACCCCUUAUGAAAUUUUCGAGUGGAAAAUUUUUUUGAAAUUUUUUUCUGAUUUUUAAUUCUUUUUUUAAUUUAAAGCAUCAUUUGAGUGAAAAGAAACUUAUUGCAACAAAUUCCCAUCAAAAUAUAUCACAUUUAAAAUUUUUGCUGAAUUGCAGAAAAUUGAGGUAAAUUUUACAUUUUCUCAAACAGGGUAAGGAACUUGGUUCCUCGAAUAACUUCUGGCACAGACAUCUGAGGGCAUGGUCGUCCAAGAAGAAAAUGUAGCCGUUGGUGUCAUCUAUCGACCACAGGUUAAAGAUUGGCGAUCCGUUGGAUACCGACCGAGUUAUAGGCAAAAUUUGGCGCAAAAAUGAGGAAAAUUUUACAUUUUCUCAAACAGGGUAAGGAACUUGGUUCCUCGAAUAACUUCUGGCACAGACAUCUGAGGGCAUGGUCGUCCAAGAAGAAAAUGUAGCCAUUGGUGCCAUCUAUCGACCACAGGUGAAAGAUUGGCGAUUCGUUGGAUACCGACCGAGUUAUAGGCAAAAUUUGGUGCAAAAAUGAGCAAAAUUUUCAUUUUUUUGUUGAAUUUUCUGAUUUUUUUAUUAUUUUUCACUAUUUUUUUUAUUUCAAGCAUUAUUUGAGUGAAAAGAAACUCAUUGCAACCCAUUGGCAUUAAAAUAAAACAAUUUAAUUUUUUUUGCAAAAUUUCUCAAAAAAAUGGCAAGGGGUACCCCUUAUGAAAUUUUCGAGUGGAAAAUUUUUUUGAAAUUUUUUUCUGAUUUUUAAUUCUUUUUUUAAUUUAAAGCAUAAUUUGAGUGAAAAGAAACUUAUUGCAACAAAUUCCCAUCAAAAUAUAUCACAUUUAAAAUUUUUGCUGAAUUGCAGAAAAUUGAGGUAAAUUUUACAUUUUCUCAAACAGGGUAAGGAACUUGGUUCCUCGAAUAACUUCUGGCACAGACAUCUGAGGGCAUGGUCGUCCAAGAAGAAAAUGUAGCCGUUGGUGUCAUCUAUCGACCACAGGUUAAAGAUUGGCGAUCCGUUGGAUACCGACCGAGUUAUAGGCAAAAUUUGGCGCAAAAAUGAGGAAAAUUUUACAUUUUCUCAAACAGGGUAAGGAACUUGGUUCCUCGAAUAACUUCUGGCACAGACAUCUGAGGGCAUGGUCGUCCAAGAAGAAAAUGUAGCCAUUGGUGCCAUCUAUCGACCACAGGUGAAAGAUUGGCGAUUCGUUGGAUACCGACCGAGUUAUAGGCAAAAUUUGGUGCAAAAAUGAGCAAAAUUUUCAUUUUUUUGUUGAAUUUUCUGAUUUUUUUAUUAUUUUUCACUAUUUUUUUUAUUUCAAGCAUUAUUUGAGUGAAAAGAAACUCAUUGCAACCCAUUGGCAUUAAAAUAAAACAAUUUAAUUUUUUUUGCAAAAUUUCUCAAAAAAAUGGCAAGGGGUACCCCUUAUGAAAUUUUCGAGUGGAAAAUUUUUUUGAAUUUUUUUUCUGAUUUUUUAUUCUUAUUUUAAUUUAAAGCAUAAUUUGAGUGAAAAGAAACUUAUUGCAACAAAUUCCCAUCAAAAUAUAUCACAUUUAAAAUUUUUGCUGAAUUGCAGAAAAUUGAGGUAAAUUUUACAUUUUCUCAAACAGGGUAAGGAACUUGGUUCCUCGAAUAACUUCUGGCACAGACAUCUGAGGGCAUGGCCGUCCAAGAAGAAAAUGUAGCCAUUGGUGCCAUCUAUCGACCACAGGUUAAAGAUUGGCGAUCCGUUGGAUACCGACCGAGUUAUAGGCAAAAUUUGGCGCAAAAAUGAGGAAAAUUUUACAUUUUCUCAAACAGGGUAAGGAACUUGGUUCCUCGAAUAACUUCUGGCACAGACAUCUGAGGGCAUGGCCGUCCAAGAAGAAAAUGUAGCCAUUGGUGUCAUCUAUCGACCACAGGUUAAAGAUUGGCGAUCCGUUGGAUACCGACCGAGUUAUAGGCAAAAUUUGGCGCAAAAAUGAGGAAAAUUUUACAUUUUCUCAAACAGGGUAAGGAACUUGGUUCCUCGAAUAACUUCUGGCACAGACAUCUGAGGGCAUGGCCGUCCAAGAAGAAAAUGUAGCCAUUGGUGCCAUCUAUCGACCACAGGUUAAAGAUUGGCGAUCCGUUGGAUACCGACCGAGUUAUAGGCAAAAUUUGGCGCAAAAAUGAGGAAAAUUUUACAUUUUCUCAAACAGGGUAAGGAACUUGGUUCCUCGAAUAACUUCUGGCACAGACAUCUGAGGGCAUGGCCGUCCAAGAAGAAAAUGUAGCCAUUGGUGUCAUCUAUCGACCACAGGUUGAAGAUUGGCGAUCCGUUGGAUACCGACCGAGUUAUAGGCAAAAUUUGGUGCAAAAAUGAGCAAAAUUUUCAUUUUUUUGUUGAAUUUUCUGAUUUUUUUAUUAUUUUUCACUCUUUUUUUUAUUUCAAGCAUUAUUUGAGUGAAAAGAAACUCAUUGCAACCCAUUGGCAUUAAAAUAAAACAAUUUAAUUUUUUUUGCAAAAUUUCUCAAAAAAAUGGCAAGGGGUACCCCUUAUGAAAUUUUCGAGUGGAAAAUUUUUUUGAAAUUUUUUUCUGAUUUUUAAUUCUUUUUUUAAUUUAAAGCAUAAUUUGAGUGAAAAGAAACUUAUUGCAACAAAUUCCCAUCAAAAUAUAUCACAUUUAAAAUUUUUGCUGAAUUGCAGAAAAUUGAGGUAAAUUUUACAUUUUCUCAAACAGGGUAAGGAACUUGGUUCCUCGAAUAACUUCUGGCACAGACAUCUGAGGGCAUGGCCGUCCAAGAAGAAAAUGUAGCCAUUGGUGUCAUCUAUCGACCACAGGUUGAAGAUUGGCGAUCCGUUGGAUACCGACCGAGUUAUAGGCAAAAUUUGGCGCAAAAAUGAGGAAAAUUUUACAUUUUCUCAAACAGGGUAAGGAACUUGGUUCCUCGAAUAACUUCUGGCACAGACAUCUGAGGGCAUGGCCGUCCAAGAAGAAAAUGUAGCCAUUGGUGUCAUCUACCG
Molecule: long non-coding RNA, 3183 nt
Organism: Anopheles funestus (African malaria mosquito)
Lineage: Eukaryota; Metazoa; Arthropoda; Insecta; Diptera; Culicidae
Exons: 4
Source: RefSeq, a predicted model, not a curated record